RNAcentral lists this ribosomal RNA (253 nucleotides) under uncultured bacterium. RNAcentral describes it as "partial 16S ribosomal RNA". It matches the Rfam family "Bacterial small subunit ribosomal RNA", at positions 524 to 776 of the family's 1533-position model. The record is from RNAcentral.
UACGGAGGGUGCAAGCGUUAUCCGGAUUCACUGGGUUUAAAGGGAGCGUAGGUGGGUUGGUAAGUCAGUGGUGAAAUCCCCGAGCUUAACUUGGGAACUGCCAUUGAUACUAUCAGUCUUGAAUACUGUGGAGGUUAGCGGAAUAUGUCAUGUAGCGGUGAAAUGCUUAGAUAUGACAUAGAACACCAAUUGCGAAGGCAGCUGGCUACACAAAUAUUGACACUGAGGCUCGAAAGCGUGGGUAGCGAACAGG